This is a long non-coding RNA of Piliocolobus tephrosceles (Ugandan red Colobus), 667 nucleotides long. RefSeq lists it as uncharacterized. Lineage: Eukaryota; Metazoa; Chordata; Mammalia; Primates; Cercopithecidae. The transcript is spliced from 3 exons. The record is from RefSeq and is a predicted model, not a curated record.
GGGUCGGGAUGCUGAAGUCGGCCGGGGGCUGCCGCUAGGCGCUUGGUACCACCCCGUGUUGAUGCUCUCCAGUUACCCUGUAGGCGGGUCUCGGUCACAGAAAGAAAAGAGAUCUUUGGGAGCUUGGAUGGAGGAACAGGAAAAGAGGAGCCUGGCUUUUUUGGAAAAUUGGCAGCGGUGACAUACGGGAAACUGAAAUCUUUAUCUCAUCUCAUCCUUUGUAUAUUCAUUUUGGAUUUGCUGAAGAAAAUUAAAAGGCAAGCCCUACCACUCCUAUCGCACAGUAUUGAUGAGCGACAUCAAUGGAGCUCCCCACCUCCACCCCAGGGUUGGAACUUGACUGCUUUUGUCAUUUCACAGAACAGCUGAAGGAUUCUGUCCCCACCUCAUCCUCUGUGAAGUCUGCUGGACAUACCUGCCAGAAUCUUCUGAAGAUGACGUUUGCUGAACACUGACCCACAGGGGUUUGAUGGAUUAUUGACAAUGAGACAAGCUGUCUUUUCAUCAAUCAGAGAUUCCAGUUGUUUCAGGUCAAUUUCCCAAGACUUCUCUGGCUGAAGAGAAAGAAAGGAUGAGACUAAGAUGAUUCUGAAACAUUUAGGGGGAUCCUCACUUAUCUCAAGGGUCCAGUGUAAGCAAUAAAGUCUGUCUCUGGCUUCAGCCACCA